Cololabis saira (Pacific saury) is the source of this 558-nucleotide long non-coding RNA. RefSeq lists it as uncharacterized. NCBI's taxonomy places the organism in Eukaryota, Metazoa, Chordata, Actinopteri, Beloniformes, Belonidae. The transcript has 4 exons. The record is from RefSeq and is a predicted model, not a curated record.
AUCAUGCCCACAGCAUUUAAGCCUCAGUCCCUCUUCAAUCCAUGCCAGAUUGUCUUGUGUUCUCCAAGCCUUCAGCCGUCUUUCAAGCCAAUGACACACGGAGGAGGUUUCAAGAUCACCAGCUGAGACUGCAGAUGGAUGUUUGGAUUUUCAGGGGUCUCCCCUCACCCUGCCAACACAGGAAAGAUGAAAUCCCAUGAAUUUCUGCAAGGUCGGCCUCCGCUGCUGAAACCACGCCCACAACUCUCUCUGCCGUCUGGAGCUUCAGCCAUUGUUCAGAAGCGGUGACUGUUUCCACAGCGAGGGGACAGUAAACAUUAGGUUUUGCAUCGACAUUUACCCUCAUAAAAGGAUCAGUGCCCAGAGUACGGACCCGGCAACUGCACAUGAGCGGCUCUAUUAGUACCGUAAUACAUUUUUCUUGUGUUUAUGAUUUCAGAUCUUCCAAGCAAUGCACCUGAAACUGUUCAACGACACAUUCAGAAGAAGCACGGUCCUUCCUUGAGCCAGCAAUAGUGCAUAAAUGUUAUUUAUAUAUUUUAACAAUAAAGUUGCCAU